This 65-nucleotide transfer RNA is filed under the name Gametis jucunda. RNAcentral's name for it is "tRNA-Glu". It matches the Rfam family "tRNA". From Rfam's summary of the family: Transfer RNA (tRNA) molecules are approximately 80 nucleotides in length. Their secondary structure includes four short double-helical elements and three loops (D, anti-codon, and T loops). Further hydrogen bonds mediate the characteristic L-shaped molecular structure. tRNAs have two regions of fundamental functional importance: the anti-codon, which is responsible for specific mRNA codon recognition, and the 3' end, to which the tRNAs corresponding amino acid is attached (by aminoacyl-tRNA synthetases). tRNAs cope with the degeneracy of the genetic code in two manners: having more than one tRNA (with a specific anti-codon) for a particular amino acid; and 'wobble' base-pairing, i.e. permitting non-standard base-pairing at the 3rd anti-codon position. Lineage: Eukaryota; Metazoa; Arthropoda; Insecta; Coleoptera; Scarabaeidae. The record is from RNAcentral.
AUUUAUAUAGUUUAAUAAAAACAUUACACUUUCAUUGUAAAAUUAGAACUCUUUCUUAUAAAUAC